Molecule: long non-coding RNA, 261 nt
Organism: Manacus vitellinus (golden-collared manakin)
Lineage: Eukaryota; Metazoa; Chordata; Aves; Passeriformes; Pipridae
Exons: 3
Source: RefSeq, a predicted model, not a curated record
AACACGGAUCUGUUCUGGAGAUAAAGCAGCACUGAGGAGGAUUGGUGGAUGCUAACUACAGUUGUUGAGAAGAUGCAAGGUUGUGUUUUCCUUCUCAAAAGAUCACAGCCUGCUCAUUCUUUCCAUGGCUCAUGAAGGUGACAAGAUGGGACAACUGAAGGAACACAUUUGUGAAGUUACCUGCUCAAAGCCAUAACAGACGCCAGUGAUAAAUCCAGGAACAGAAGCUAAGUCUCCCAAGUUGCGGCCUAACACCAUCAA